GCUGGGUGUGGUGGUUCACACCUGUAAUUCCAGUGCUCUGGGAGGCUGAGGCAAGAGGAUUGCUUGAGGCCAGGAGUUCAAGAUCAGGCUGGUCAACAUGACAAGACCCUGCCUCUAUAACCAAAUUUUAAAAUUAGCUGGGCAUGGUGGUGCAUACCUGUAGUUCCAGCUACUUCGGAGACUGAGGCAGGAGGAUCACUUCAGCCCAGGAAUUUGAGGCUGUAGUGAGCCAUGUAUCAUGGCACUCCAGCCUGGGUGACAGAGCGAGAUCCUGUCUCA
RNAcentral lists this small RNA (279 nucleotides) under Nomascus leucogenys (northern white-cheeked gibbon). Its description in RNAcentral is "Metazoan signal recognition particle RNA (ENSNLEG00000035443.1)". The record is from RNAcentral. Lineage: Eukaryota; Metazoa; Chordata; Mammalia; Primates; Hylobatidae.